Molecule: ribosomal RNA, 301 nt
Filed under: uncultured bacterium
Lineage: Bacteria
Description: partial 16S ribosomal RNA
Rfam family: Bacterial small subunit ribosomal RNA
Source: RNAcentral
CAGUCGCCGCGGUAAUACGUAGGGUCCGAGCGUUGUCCGGAAUUAUUGGGCGUAAAGAGCUCGUAGGCGGUUCGUCGCGUCUGCCGUGAAAUCCUCAGGCUCAACCUGAGGCGUGCGGUGGGUACGGGCGGGCUAGAGUGCGGUAGGGGAGAAUGGAACUCCUGGUGUAGCGGUGGAAUGCGCAGAUAUCAGGAAGAACACCGAUGGCGAAGGCAGUUCUCUGGGCCGUAACUGACGCUGAGGAGCGAAAGCGUGGGGAGCGAACAGGAUUAGAUACCCCCGUAGUCCCUGUCUCUUAUAC